RNAcentral lists this ribosomal RNA (253 nucleotides) under uncultured bacterium. RNAcentral's name for it is "partial 16S ribosomal RNA". It matches the Rfam family "Bacterial small subunit ribosomal RNA", at positions 524 to 776 of the family's 1533-position model. The record is from RNAcentral.
UACGUAGGGUGCGAGCGUUGUCCGGAAUUAUUGGGCGUAAAGAGCUCGUAGGCGGUUUGUUGCGUCGGCCGUGAAAACUCAGGGCUUAACUCUGAGCCUGCGGUCGAUACGGGCAGACUUGAGUUCGGUAGGGGAGACUGGAAUUCCUGGUGUAGCGGUGAAAUUCGUAGAUAUCGGGAGGAAUACCAGUGGCGAAGGCGCUGGGCUGGACGGAUACUGACGCUGAGGUGCGAAAGCGUGGGGAGCAAACAGG